CGUCCUGCACUUUGCUACCAUGGAAUAUUUGAAAAGGCCCAUUGGAUUUACUAAUAAUUUCGUUCAUGAUAACAUGCAAAGUGUAGAUACAGCUUUCAAUACCAGUGGUGUCCUGAAUACAGCUACUGGUAUUGACACAGCUCUAUCUUCAGUGGCGAAAGCAGUCUGGACUGGUAGAAGCGUGGGAAGGAUUAUUUUUGAAAGUGUUUCAGUCUGCUAUGAAUCAUCAUAAUCCAUACAUCGCAUGAACCUGCUCUCCGACACCAGUACAAGGAGAUGAUCGAGGGUGAACAAGCAACACUUCAGCUUGAAUUGUCUGGAGCCUGGUGUUGUUGUGGCCAUGGACCUUUCACUCAGAUGGAUCCAGGUCAGCUGCUGUGCAAUGUUGACUUCCUUCCAGAGAUGUGAACGCAUCCCCCGGACUGGACAAAGCAAACAUAUAUUUUUGAGAAGAUCAGGACUUUUGCAAUGAAAAGGCUAUGGCCAUGACAUGUCUUGCUCCGAAGAGUAGGACAGAACUACGCUUUCAGGCACAUGACCUGAACAUGACCUGAAUGACCUGAACCAAAGUUACUCAAAGGAUCUUAUGAUAUAGGGUCUAGAUAUUGUUUUUACCUAAGUCUUUAUGCGUUUUAGUUUGUUUCUCAUUGUAGGCUACUACCUUUAACACUUACGUUAACGAAGUAUUUUAUUGUUGAAAUCUUUUCUUCGUUUUUUUUUAAAGCUCUACCUCACUGCCUUAUCACAUGGCCACAUUCACGUGUUCCAAUGUGAAUCCUUUAAGAGAUGGGUGGGUCUAAGGCUCUAGAGGGUGUGAAUGAGUAAAUAAAGAACAGCACUGUAGCUGUUCAAUGCGAAAGGUUAUCUUCAUUAUACAACAACAGGCAAUGUAAUACUGUAAAUGGUUUGCCUAAUGGGGUAACUUUCUGAGAUAAAUGUUCAGAGAAUCCAUUUUGGCAAUUUGGUGAAAGUAUUCAUUUUCCAAAUAUGUUUCCCAAGGAUUAAUGUAGAGUAAGUGUGAAAAUGGCACAAUGUUAGCGUUCCUUUUUCUCCUAAAUGGGAUUAUACGUUCAUCAACUUUUAAAGCGGCGUUACUUCCCCAUGUUUCCUGCAACCACAGUGUAUGAUAUGCCAUUUUGAAGCUCUGAGUCUGUACUUUUACCCAACGUACAAAACACUGUUUCAAAUGUCGGAACAUAAGACUGAAAAGAGACGGUGGGUCACAGAUGUUGUUAUUCUUUCCUAUGAAUAUGGGAGAUGGAGACCAAUGAAUGAAUCGUGACUCGGUUACAAGAUCCCUGCUGAGAUCCCGCUGUGAGACAAAGAUCCAUGUGACGGUCGGAUGCCACCCCAUAUAGUGCUUUUCUGCCAGGUCACCCCAAGGCCCUGUCCUAUUACAACCUGCUCCUCAGAACCACACGUGACAUCAGGGCUGCUGUGAUGGGACUGCAGGGAACAGGGUUUCCGUUCCUAGGGAACAGUAAAGUCAUUUUUUCUCUCCCUUUUCUCCUCAUCCCUCUCUAUCCCCCACUCUAAAAGGGACUGCAUCUGUGCACUGUGAACCAGGAAAUAGAUGCCCAUGUAAAUAAAAAUACUGAGAUAUCUGAGAUCGGUGAUAUUGAUAUGUGAUAGAAGGAAUCGCUGCACAUGGUGAGGGCGUGGCUAUUUCCACCUUCCACGUGUAAAGACAUCGAUUUUCAAAUUCUAUCUUGUUUUCAUUAUCUCUGGCGACAUGAGAGCAUGCAGGGUGCACUUUAAAGCCAGCUAACGUAAACAAAGACAUACUGUACC
Salvelinus namaycush (lake trout) is the source of this 1791-nucleotide long non-coding RNA. RefSeq lists it as uncharacterized. Lineage: Eukaryota; Metazoa; Chordata; Actinopteri; Salmoniformes; Salmonidae. The record is from RefSeq and is a predicted model, not a curated record. The transcript is spliced from 3 exons.